AACGAACGCUGGCGGCAGGCUUAACACAUGCAAGUCGAACGAGAAGGUACCUUCGGGUACUGGACAGUGGCGCACGGGUGAGUAACGCGUGGGAAUCUACCAUGGAGUGGGGGAUAACAUUUGGAAACGAAUGCUAAUACCGCAUACGCCCUACGGGGGAAAGAUUUAUUGCUCUAUGAUGAGCCCGCGUUAGAUUAGGUAGUUGGUGGGGUAAUGGCCUACCAAGCCUACGAUCUAUAGCUGGUCUGAGAGGAUGAUCAGCCACACUGGGACUGAGAUACGGCCCAGACUCCUACGGGAGGCAGCAGUGGGGAAUAUUGGACAAUGGGCGCAAGCCUGAUCCAGCCAUGCCGCGUGAGUGAAGAAGGCCUUAGGGUUGUAAAACUCUUUCAACUGUGAGGAUGAUGACAGUAGCAGUAGAAGAAGCACCGGCUAAUUC
Molecule: ribosomal RNA, 439 nt
Filed under: alpha proteobacterium 'Egg clone D37'
Lineage: Bacteria; Pseudomonadati; Pseudomonadota; Alphaproteobacteria
Description: bacterial SSU rRNA
Rfam family: Bacterial small subunit ribosomal RNA
Source: RNAcentral